Lactuca sativa (garden lettuce) is the source of this 154-nucleotide small nucleolar RNA. RefSeq annotates it as small nucleolar RNA snoR137. Lineage: Eukaryota; Viridiplantae; Streptophyta; Magnoliopsida; Asterales; Asteraceae. The record is from RefSeq and is a predicted model, not a curated record.
GUUGCUUCAUAAUGGUGAAUACUCUCACAAUUAAAUGAGAGAAAUUCAAGUUUCCGGAGCAUAAAUUACCUUUUUUUUUAAAAAAAAACGCCAGGAUUAAACAGCUCAAUGUAGUUACUAAUUGCCUUGACGUUACCUGUCUCCUGGCACAUUC